This 452-nucleotide unclassified non-coding RNA is filed under the name Hevea brasiliensis (rubber tree). The record is from RNAcentral. Lineage: Eukaryota; Viridiplantae; Streptophyta; Magnoliopsida; Malpighiales; Euphorbiaceae.
AAGAGCAGCAAUAGCAUAAUUAACCUGCAAUAGUGAUACCAGAUGUUAAUUCAUGCUUCUAAGUGAUAUAAAAGUUGUGAGUUUUUGGUCCCUAACAUCAAAGUUAGAUACAUCUUCAACAAAGCAACCUUAGAGGGAUGAUUCCAGUACCCUCCUUAAUUCCUGAAAGGUUAGCAAAGUUUUAGAAAAAAAAUCGUACAGCUUUUUUCUGAAGAAAAGUAGACAGAAAGAACUCUUACGUAACUCACGGCCAAUGACACUUUAACGAUGGCAUCAUAGGGGAGAAGAAAAGAAGUUUUGGGGGGGGCUGUGAGAGGCGAGUAAAGAGAAAAAAUGGAUAUUUGACAUCAUAAUCAUCAUUAGUUUAAUGUACAUUUUAGUUUGAACCAAGCCAUGGACAGCCUAGAACAUCAAAACUUAGCAUUUAGCAGAUAGUCACAACUGUACAUUAU